GUCUACAGCCAUACCACCCUAAACGGACCCAAUCUCAGCUGAUCUCGGAAGUUAAGCAGGGUCGGGCCUGCUUAGUGCUUGGAUGGGAGGACGUCAGACACAGGUCUCAAUGGGCU
Bison bison bison is the source of this 116-nucleotide ribosomal RNA. The record is from Ensembl. Lineage: Eukaryota; Metazoa; Chordata; Mammalia; Artiodactyla; Bovidae.